UACGUAGGGAGCGAGCGUUAUCCGGAAUUAUUGGGUGUAAAGCGUGUGUAGGCGGUUAAAUAAGUCUAAGGUUUAAGCCCGGAGCUCAACUCCGGAUCGCCUUAGAAACUGUAUAACUUGAGUAUGGUAGAGGUAAACGGAAUUUCUAGUGUAGCGGUAAAAUGCGUAGAUAUUAGAAGGAACACCAGUGGCGAAGGCGGUUUACUGGGCCACCACUGACGCUGAGACACGAAAGCGUGGGGAGCAAA
Molecule: ribosomal RNA, 248 nt
Filed under: uncultured Muribaculaceae bacterium
Lineage: Bacteria; Pseudomonadati; Bacteroidota; Bacteroidia; Bacteroidales; Muribaculaceae
Description: partial 16S ribosomal RNA
Rfam family: Bacterial small subunit ribosomal RNA
Source: RNAcentral